This 253-nucleotide ribosomal RNA is filed under the name uncultured Dysgonomonas sp. RNAcentral's name for it is "partial 16S ribosomal RNA". It matches the Rfam family "Bacterial small subunit ribosomal RNA", at positions 524 to 776 of the family's 1533-position model. The record is from RNAcentral. Lineage: Bacteria; Pseudomonadati; Bacteroidota; Bacteroidia; Bacteroidales; Dysgonomonadaceae.
UACGGAGGAUGCGAGCGUUAUCCGGAUUUAUUGGGUUUAAAGGGUGCGCAGGCGGGAUCUUAAGUCAGCGGUGAAAUCUCCAGGCUCAACCUGGAACCUGCCGUUGAAACUGGGAUUCUUGAGUGUAGAUGAAGUAGGCGGAAUUCGUUGUGUAGCGGUGGCAUGCUUAGAUAUAACGAGGAACUCCGAUUGCGUAGGCAGCUUACUAAACUAUAACUGACGCUCAUGCACGAAAGCGUGGGGAUCAAACAGG